Molecule: ribosomal RNA, 253 nt
Filed under: uncultured bacterium
Lineage: Bacteria
Description: partial 16S ribosomal RNA
Rfam family: Bacterial small subunit ribosomal RNA
Source: RNAcentral
UACGAAGGGUGCAAGCGUUACUCGGAAUUACUGGGCGUAAAGCGUGCGUAGGUGGUUUGUUAAGUCUGAUGUGAAAGCCCUGGGCUCAACCUGGGAACGGCAUUGGAAACUGGCUUACUAGAGUGCGGUAGAGGGGUGUGGAAUUCCCGGUGUAGCAGUGAAAUGCGUAGAUAUCGGGAGGAACAUCUGUGGCGAAGGCGACACCCUGGACCAGCACUGACACUGAGGCACGAAAGCGUGGGGAGCGAACAGG